AGCGAUUCAGAAGAGACGGAGGAUGAACAGCCAAAGACUUCCAAACCUAGAAGAUCUGAACCUACCAAGCAGAAAGCAACCCCAGAAAAUCCGUCAACAAAGCGGCGAAGAAUAAACCCCGAGCUUGAUGCGUGUGAGUUAAUCCUGACGGAGCUCGUGCGGAAUGAGGACAGCUGGCCGUUCCUACAACCCGUCAACACGAAGGAGGUGACUGACUACCCCGAACUCGUAUCAGAACCGAUGGAUCUCGGCACUAUUAAAGAUAACCUGACGUUGAUGCGAUACGAGGAGGCGGAGGCCUUUGUGCAACACGUGAGACUCGUAUUCAUCAACUGUGACAAGUACAACCACAUCACUACGGAGGUAGGCCUGACCGGGGAAAGACUGAGUAAGGUGUUCGAUCAGCUACUGAAGGAACAUUUACCCAGACUUGUCACGCCAGCAGCGAAACCCGCUUGUAGACCGUCACGAAGGUCACGAAAAUGACCACAUCCGUCACACCAAGACCGUCAUGAAUGUCACGAAAAUGACAACAUCCGUCACACCAAGACCGUCACGAAGGUCAUGAAAAUGACCACAUCCGUUACACCAAGUGACUGUUACAAAGGUCUGGCAAAUGACCACAUCCGUCACACUAAGACCGUCAUGAAUGUCACGCAAAUGACCACAUCCGUUACACCAAGACCGUCACGAAGGUCACGCAAAUGACCACACCAAGACCGUCAUGAAUGUCACGCUAAUGACCAAAUUAUACAAGCCAAGAGCAUCACGAAGGUUACGCAACUGACCACAAAUCAAGGAUUAAGAUUUUGCACUAUUUGCCGCAUCUCUUUGUAGGUCUUUGGCGUAUGCCUUACAAAAGUCGCCGUGCAGUCUUUUACAAUACGUAACCGUUUGAUUUUUGUUUAAGAUGAUACCACUUCCGAACUUAUCACAAAAGUCAUGAAUUCAAAAAACAAAUACAUAGGAUAAAAUCUAAAUUCGCCGCUACACUAGUAGUUAUUAAAGUAUUGUUAUCAUUGUUGGAUCAUAGUCUUGAUUUUCUCGUGGCCCGUGAAAUUAAGACAUCUCGCCCAGGAAUCAUCUCGUUCGGUUAAACGCAAUUGCAAUUAUUGAGUGUAUUUUAUUUUUUAUCUGGAUUUGUAAAGUAAUAAAACAGUUCUAUUACUA
This is a long non-coding RNA of Nematostella vectensis (starlet sea anemone), 1170 nucleotides long. RefSeq lists it as uncharacterized. The record is from RefSeq and is a predicted model, not a curated record. Lineage: Eukaryota; Metazoa; Cnidaria; Anthozoa; Actiniaria; Edwardsiidae. The transcript has 7 exons.